Molecule: long non-coding RNA, 283 nt
Filed under: Brassica napus (rape)
Lineage: Eukaryota; Viridiplantae; Streptophyta; Magnoliopsida; Brassicales; Brassicaceae
Description: long non-coding RNA (BNAP_LNC007935)
Source: RNAcentral
GUUUGGAAAGUAGUUAAUGCACUUGUAGAUAGGUAAUUAUGGUUGUGUAAUAUACAAUAACUGAGAUGUACUUUUGUAGUUAGGUCAUUAUGGGAGUGUUAAUUAUCAUUUUCAACUAUUUAACCCUUCUUUCACGAGUUUAUCUCCAUCAUCUUCUUUCUCUUUUUUCUCUUGUAUAACUCUGUCACAUUCCUUCUUCUAUCUUCUUUAUUCUGUCACAUUCCUUCUUCUAUCUUCUUUAUUCUCUCACAUUCCUUCUUCUAUAUGGAUCCAAGGAAUCCGU